Molecule: ribosomal RNA, 301 nt
Filed under: uncultured bacterium
Lineage: Bacteria
Description: partial 16S ribosomal RNA
Rfam family: Bacterial small subunit ribosomal RNA
Source: RNAcentral
CAGUCGCCGCGGGAAUACGUAGGGUGCAAGCGUUAAUCGGAAUUACUGGGCGUAAAGCGUGCGCAGGCGGUUUUGUAAGACAGAGGUGAAAUCCCCGGGCUCAACCUGGGAACUGCCUUUGUGACUGCAAGGCUAUAGUACGGCAGAGGGGGAUGGAAUUCCGCGUGUAGCAGUGAAAUGCGUAGAUAUGCGGAGGAACACCGAUGGCGAAGGCAAUCCCCUGGGCCUGUACUGACGCUCAUGCACGAAAGCGUGGGGAGCAAACAGGAUUAGAUACCCGCGUAGUCCCUGUCUCUUAUAC